Molecule: non-coding RNA, 160 nt
Filed under: uncultured Blautia sp.
Lineage: Bacteria; Bacillati; Bacillota; Clostridia; Lachnospirales; Lachnospiraceae
Description: Lysine riboswitch
Rfam family: Lysine riboswitch aptamer
About the family: Riboswitches are metabolite binding domains within certain messenger RNAs that serve as precision sensors for their corresponding targets. Allosteric rearrangement of mRNA structure is mediated by ligand binding, and this results in modulation of gene expression.
Source: RNAcentral
UAUGAUAGAGGUGCAGGUUUCAAGAGUAUCCUUGUGCAGAGGCUGGGCAGUCGCAGAAGGAGAAAGGGGAAACUGCCGAAGAAGGGAAAUCCGCCCGGGAUUUUCCUUCUGGGACGCUGCAGAAUAUGCAGCGUACUGUCACAAUAUGUGGAGCGCUAUC